Long non-coding RNA from Chinchilla lanigera (long-tailed chinchilla), 1720 nucleotides. NCBI's taxonomy places the organism in Eukaryota, Metazoa, Chordata, Mammalia, Rodentia, Chinchillidae. The record is from Ensembl.
GCGCGGCCGUCCUUCCCCUCCUCCCGGGGUGCCACCCCGGCGCCACCGCGGGCCGAUCUCACGACGGGCGCCCGCGGCCCCUGCCCGGCACCUCUGCCGCCAGGCCUUACGCGCCCGCCGCUGCCUGCCUGUCUCUGCCUGAGUCUCUGCCUCUGCGUGUCUCGCCUGUCUCUGCCUGUCUCUGCCCGUGUGUCUGCCUGCAUCUCUGUCUGUGCCUCUGCCUGUGUCUGUGUGUCUGCCUGUCUCUGCCUGUCUCUCUGUCUCUGUCUGCCUGUGUCUUUGCCUGUGCCUGCAUCCUCACGCUGUCUGAGUCUGAUUCUGUCUCAGCACCUCUCUCUCUCCUCCUCUCUCCCUCUCUCCCUCUCUCUCUCCACCCCGAGUCUCUGCUCCUUGUUUCCUUCCCCUCUUCCUGGCCACCCCCAGCUCCCAGUAACCGGGACUCUCCCAGGGUUCCCCAAGUCCAGUACUUUUUUGUUCGUUUUUGUUUCCAGUCCUGAGGGCUGAACCCAGGACUUUCACACUGUGCUGCAUCCCCAGCUCUUUUUUGAGACCGGAUCCCUCUGAGCAUCUAAAUCGCCUCCUAAUCCCCAGCUCCAACUGGCGAUCCUCGUGCCUCAGCCUCCCAGAGUGCUUUUGCUGAAGACUUGGGACACCCGGGCCUCAGCCACUUUCCCCGACCCCAAGGGCCAUCCCAACACCCACAUCCAUCCCACCCCAACCCUCCCCGACCUACCAUUCCCCAGAAACCUGGGCCUUUCCUGCCCUUCCACCCCCACCCAGUUACCGGAUGCUUCCGGUCAGAAGACCCUUGGGACCCUACAAGCAGAAGCCUGGGAAGUCCACAUGGAGAAAUUCCCCGUAGAGCCAGGGACACUCUUCAGCGUCGAAGGAAACUCAAAUUUCCCGUUUGUUCUCACCGGCUGGAGGCGGAGCGGGAGGAGGAGCAGCGGAGAGGCCAAAACCUGGCCUGGAAAGGGGAAUUGAAAGUCCCACCGUCCCAUCUCAGUUGCUGCCAAUACCACACCAACCCUGAGGGUGCGUGCGGUAAAGCAGGAUUGGCUAAAAGUAAAAGUUACAGAAGACAGCUCCCUUCUCCAUCAAAGCCCUGCCCCGGAGCCCUCCAAGAGAGGGGGAAAUGAUGACCUGUCUGGAUCUGUUAAAAUGCAAUCAAAAUUAAAUCUCUCCUCCUUAAAAAAGAGAGAGAGAGAGAGAGAGAGAGAGAGAGAGAGAGAGAGAGAGAGAGAGAGAAAUACAAUCAACGCUACGGAGAAACGAAGUGUUAAUGGAACUUCCAGUGUGAAUAUUGUAACUGAGAUACCACAGCGCCCCCUUGCGCUCUGCCUACGCUGACGUCUGGCGCCUCUGCCAAGCAGCCCCCAGCCGCGUGCCGCAGGGAUUGCCCAAGUGACAACGGGGACAGGAAGAGGAACUGAGAGGGCUACAGAAAGAUCCCUCUGAUAACCCGAGUGAAAGCACACCCAGCAGCUGGAUGUCACCCAUGUCACCCCGCCGCAGUUCACACCGCCCGAAGGUCCCGCGCUGUUUAUUCGCUUAUGAUUGCUUUCCUCCAUCACUUGUGAGCUCCUGAGUAGGAGGUUUAUCUGCUUUAUUCCCAGGCACCGCUGCUUCCUGUGGGCCUCGAUCAUCUUUAUAAGAGGAAGGAAGGAAGAGGAGAGAGGAAGAGGAAGGAGGGAAGAAAGAAGGGAGAGAAAGAGGGAAC